This 76-nucleotide transfer RNA is filed under the name Oligosphaeraceae bacterium. Its description in RNAcentral is "tRNA-Met". It matches the Rfam family "tRNA". Rfam says of the family: Transfer RNA (tRNA) molecules are approximately 80 nucleotides in length. Lineage: Bacteria; Pseudomonadati; Lentisphaerota; Oligosphaeria; Oligosphaerales; Oligosphaeraceae. The record is from RNAcentral.
GCCGGGCUAGCUCAGUUGGUAGAGCAGUGGGAUCAUAAUCCACGAGUCAUUGGUUCGAGUCCGAUGCCCGGUACCA